RNAcentral lists this ribosomal RNA (497 nucleotides) under uncultured bacterium. RNAcentral's name for it is "partial 16S ribosomal RNA". It matches the Rfam family "Bacterial small subunit ribosomal RNA", at positions 28 to 507 of the family's 1533-position model. The record is from RNAcentral.
GACGAACGCUGGCGGCGUGCCUAAUACAUGCAAGUUGAGCGCUGAAGGUUGGUACUUGUACCAACUGGAUGAGCAGCGAACGGGUGAGUAACGCGUGGGGAAUCUGCCUUUGAGCGGGGGACAACAUUUGGAAACGAAUGCUAAUACCGCAUAAAAACUUUAAACACAAGUUUUAAGUUUGAAAGAUGCAAUUGCAUCACUCAAAGAUGAUCCCGCGUUGUAUUAGCUAGUUGGUGAGGUAAAGGCUCACCAAGGCGAUGAUACAUAGCCGACCUGAGAGGGUGAUCGGCCACAUUGGGACUGAGACACGGCCCAAACUCCUACGGGAGACAGCAGUAGGGAAUCUUCGGCAAUGGACGAAAGUCUGACCGAGCAACGCCGCGUGAGUGAAGAAGGUUUUCGGAUCGUAAAACUCUGUUGGUAGAGAAGAACGUUGGUGAGAGUGGAAAGCUCAUCAAGUGACGGUAACUACCCAGAAAGGGACGGCUAACUACGUG